AACGAACGCUGGCGGCAUGCCUAACACAUGCAAGUCGAACGAGACCUUCGGGUCUAGUGGCGCACGGGUGCGUAACGCGUGGGAACCUGCCCUUAGGUUCGGAAUAACUCCCCGAAAGGGGUGCUAAUACCGGAUAAUGUCUUCCGACCAAAGAUUUAUCGCCUUUGGAUGGGCCCGAGUUGGAUUAGCUAGUUGGUAGGGUAAAAGCGUACCAAGGCGACGAUCCAUAGCUGGUCUGAGAGGAUGAUCAGCCACACUGGGACUGAGACACGGCCCAGACUCCUACGGGAGGCAGCAGUGGGGAAUAUUGGAAAAUGGGCGAAAGCCUGAUCCAGCAAUGCCGCGUGAGUGAUGAAGGCCUUAGGGUUGUAAAGCUCUUUUACCCGGGAUGAUAAUGACAGUACCGGGAGAAUAAGCUCCGGCUAACUCCGUG
Molecule: ribosomal RNA, 433 nt
Filed under: uncultured bacterium
Lineage: Bacteria
Description: partial 16S ribosomal RNA
Rfam family: Bacterial small subunit ribosomal RNA
Source: RNAcentral